GGCCCCCUCGUCUAGUGGUUAGGACUCAGGGUUUUCGACCCUGCAACAGGGGUUCAAGUCCCCUGGGGGUCACCA
RNAcentral lists this transfer RNA (75 nucleotides) under candidate division LCP-89 bacterium B3_LCP. RNAcentral describes it as "tRNA-Glu". It matches the Rfam family "tRNA". From Rfam's summary of the family: Transfer RNA (tRNA) molecules are approximately 80 nucleotides in length. Their secondary structure includes four short double-helical elements and three loops (D, anti-codon, and T loops). Further hydrogen bonds mediate the characteristic L-shaped molecular structure. tRNAs have two regions of fundamental functional importance: the anti-codon, which is responsible for specific mRNA codon recognition, and the 3' end, to which the tRNAs corresponding amino acid is attached (by aminoacyl-tRNA synthetases). tRNAs cope with the degeneracy of the genetic code in two manners: having more than one tRNA (with a specific anti-codon) for a particular amino acid; and 'wobble' base-pairing, i.e. permitting non-standard base-pairing at the 3rd anti-codon position. The record is from RNAcentral. RNAcentral also lists the same sequence under 1 other name. Lineage: Bacteria; Pseudomonadati; candidate division LCP-89.